Molecule: non-coding RNA, 722 nt
Filed under: Cryptosporidium parvum
Lineage: Eukaryota; Apicomplexa; Conoidasida; Eucoccidiorida; Cryptosporidiidae
Source: RNAcentral
AUAUGACUCAAGGGACUCAAAAAGUUCAUAGUUUGUGUUUUGUGAUUGAUAUGAAAUAAAUAGUUUUGAUGAGCUACCGAAAUACUGCCAAUAUUUAUAAAACUGGUCAAAUGUUAAAGCAUCAAUAAAUUCUAAAUAAUCUUUUUUCCAUGAGCAAGAAAAGUGGGUAUGUUUGGAAGCUCCCAUAUGUAAAGAUGCUAGUGUGAAUAAAUCUUCUGACUCCGACCCUUCGUAGUAUAUUUUAUUGGUUUUUGAUGUGAUUUGGCUGCCAAGGUUGUUUUCUAUUAAUCUUGCGUUUCUGGAAAGUAAUAAUAAAAAUUCUUUGGCUUUAUUAAACCCUGACCUAGAAAUCAUCUUUGAAGGCCUGGAAUAAUAUGUUAGGAAGAAAUUGUUAAGGAGCUCGCCAAGUUCUCUAAUGUUUUUAGUUGGGGACUGUAGCUUGAACUCAAGAACUAAAUAUUUACCAAGUAUUAUUCUAGGGAGCACUUUUAAAGAACAAUCUGGACAAACUUUAUCUGAGAACUCUAUAAAAUACUUAUAUGAAUUGAGCUCUGAAACUAUUUGAAGGAAUGCCAAGUUCUGCUCGCUAUAAAACCCAUAAUGAAUUUGGAGGAGAACCAUAUUAUCCUUGCUAUUUUUGCUUGAAUUAAUGUAAAAGAAGUAAGAAUUGCUGUAGUUGUAUGGCAAUCUACUCAUAUCACUGAAUGAAUUUCUUGUGUAUC